AGUCGUGGUAAGAGCGAAGUGGCCCCACCCAGUCCCAUCCCGAACCUGGAAGUGAAACGCUUCAGCGCCAACAAUAGUUAGACCGCAGGGUUUUGCCAAGAUAGGCCACUGCGGCUU
RNAcentral lists this ribosomal RNA (117 nucleotides) under Candidatus Chloroheliaceae bacterium. The record is from RNAcentral. Lineage: Bacteria; Bacillati; Chloroflexota; Chloroflexia; Candidatus Chloroheliales; Candidatus Chloroheliaceae.